RNAcentral lists this ribosomal RNA (575 nucleotides) under Escherichia coli. RNAcentral's name for it is "partial 23S ribosomal RNA". It matches the Rfam family "Bacterial large subunit ribosomal RNA", at positions 251 to 867 of the family's 2925-position model. Lineage: Bacteria; Pseudomonadati; Pseudomonadota; Gammaproteobacteria; Enterobacterales; Enterobacteriaceae. The record is from RNAcentral.
GAGCGAACGGGGAGCAGCCCAGAGCCUGAAUCAGUGUGUGUGUUAGUGGAAGCGUCUGGAAAGGCGCGCGAUACAGGGUGACAGCCCCGUACACAAAAAUGCACAUACUGUGAGCUCGAUGAGUAGGGCGGGACACGUGGUAUCCUGUCUGAAUAUGGGGGGACCAUCCUCCAAGGCUAAAUACUCCUGACUGACCGAUAGUGAACCAGUACCGUGAGGGAAAGGCGAAAAGAACCCCGGCGAGGGGAGUGAAAAAGAACCUGAAACCGUGUACGUACAAGCAGUGGGAGCACGCUUAGGCGUGUGACUGCGUACCUUUUGUAUAAUGGGUCAGCGACUUAUAUUCUGUAGCAAGGUUAACCGAAUAGGGGAGCCGAAGGGAAACCGAGUCUUAACUGGGCGUUAAGUUGCAGGGUAUAGACCCGAAACCCGGUGAUCUAGCCAUGGGCAGGUUGAAGGUUGGGUAACACUAACUGGAGGACCGAACCGACUAAUGUUGAAAAAUUAGCGGAUGACUUGUGGCUGGGGGUGAAAGGCCAAUCAAACCGGGAGAUAGCUGGUUCUCCCCGAAAGCU